Molecule: ribosomal RNA, 442 nt
Filed under: uncultured bacterium
Lineage: Bacteria
Description: partial 16S ribosomal RNA
Rfam family: Bacterial small subunit ribosomal RNA
Source: RNAcentral
CCUACGGGCGGCAGCAGUGGGGAAUAUUGGGCAAUGGGCGCAAGCCUGACCCAGCAAUGCCGCGUGAAGGAAGAAGGCUUUCGGGUUGUAAACUUCUUUGAAAGGGGAAGAGCAGAAGACGGUACCCUGAAAACAAGCCACGGCUAACUACGUGCCAGCAGCCGCGGUAAUACGAAGGUGGCAAGCGAUGUCCGGAUUUACUGGGUGUAAAGGGCGUGUAGCCGGGAAGGCAAGUCAGAUGUGAAAGCUGGAGGCUCAACCUCCAAAUUGCAUUUGAAACUGGUUUUCUUGAGUACUGGAGAGGCAGGCGGAAUUCGUUGUGUAGCGGUGAAAUGCGUAGAUAUAAGGAAGAACACCAGUGGCGAAGGCGGUCUGCUGGACUGCAACUGACGGUGAGGCGCGAAAGCGUGGGGAGCAAACAGGAUUAGAUACCCUUGUAGUC